CAAAAAUUAGGUGGGUGUGGUGGCGGACAUCUGUAAUCCCAGCUACUCAAGAGGCUGAGGCAGGAGAAUGGCAUGAACCCGGGAGGUAGAGGUUGUAGUGAAUCGAGAUCAUGUCACUGCACUCCAGCCUGGGCAACACAGCAAGACGCCGUUCAAAAAAAAAAAAAAAAAACAACUUUCAACAUACUCAAAGAUAAGGUACUUAACCUGAGCUUUUAAUUGUAUUGAAUUAAAAGGCUUAGGCAUGGAUUUUAAGAAAGAUCACGGUCAGAUUUCUUGUGUAAAUCAGAGCCCAGUAGGAGAGAUAAGACUUUGCAUAUUUAAUUCUUUUUGGGUUGAUUUUUUUUUCUAAUUCUUUAAUUCUUUCUUCUUGCUUAAUUACUUUUUUUGGCAACUUCUAACAUUUAAUUUCAAAAAGGAUUAUGCUUAGUAAAGUCUAUCAGCACAGAAUAUGAUCUGAAGUUUAAAAACACCCAUUAACUUCCCUACAUUUCAUUGCUUAUGAAGACUUUUCCCCAUUUUUUUCAUUUUCUGUUUUAUAAUAACCUUAUUACUUUUACCAUGUAGUCAUUUUGCUGCAUAAAAUUUAACUAAUUCCCAUCAUAAUUGAGUAUAUUUUUUCCCUUAUGAGCUUGAUAUAUAUUUAAUCUUUUAUUUAAAAUAAUUAUUAGAACGGUUUUGUUUUUCUAAGAUUUUCACAUUUUCUAAUUUGAAAAUUGAUAUCUCCUUGAUAUUUCUUCUGUAGUACUAUAAUUUUAAAGAAACUUGUAUCUUUUAACAGGUCUAUGCAUAUCCACAGGAUGAGAAUAGAAGCUUGAAUACUUCUGGUCUUUCUCUUAUGGACAAGGGAAAAGGAAAAGCUAAUUUAAUUGUUAACAUCCUAUGAUUAAGCCUCAGUGGCAGAAAACUACUUCCUCUUUGACCUACCAAUGCUCACAUUUUCCUCUGGUCUUUGUCUAGCAUUCUGUCUGUGUCUCUUUCUCCUUUUCCUUUCUCCCUUUUUCCUUUCCUCACUCCCUCCUAGCUUCUUUGACCAGAAGCAAGAAAUCAAGUCAGCCUUUGCUACAAGCUGUCUCCCUGUUAAUGUCAGAAGAAGUAAAAUUUACAAGUUUGACUCCAGGCCUAAGCCAUGUUCUACAAGUCAAUUUUUCUCCAGACAAAUCUGCAUUGGGAUAUAUUAAGCAAGUUUUUAUCCUAUGUAGCUUCAGUUUUUUGAAUAUAUUCUUUAUUUGACAGAAAUCUAAAGAGGAUAAGACAUAGGCCCUCAAUAUCUAAUACAGUAUGAUUAAAAAAGUAGUUUCAUUAAUUUGAGAAAAGUAACCUGCAGUGAAUAAAAAACUUUUUUUUGAAUGUUUCUUCCAUGCCUAUACCUGUGCUAUGCAUAGUGGAAUUAGCAAAACUUAUGACAUAAUCCAAAACCUGAGGUUUAUAAUCCCAUUUGUAAAGUCAAGGCAUACACCACUGGAAUGACAAAAGAAUAUGAAGGUUGAUGCUGAACUGGAAUUAGGGGAAGUUUCUCACUACAGUGAAGUUUCUGCUGGGCCUUGGAAAAAAAAAUCUUGAUGUGUAAAAGGAUAAUUAGGUUGGAAAACUGGCACGACUUUCGUUUAAAAUGCAAAUGAACUUUCUCUUUCAAAAGAAAGUUUGACUUUGAAAUAUUAAGUAUGUAAGAUAUCACAAAAAGAAAUAUAUGAAAUAUUAUUGGCCUUUUCCAUUGGCUAACACUUAAUUGACUCUUUGGGGAAAAUAUUUUAAGUUAAUGUUAAGAAGUCAACUCCACUAUUUUUGCAUGCAUCAGACAUUUCCAAUCAAAUGACAUUAAUUAAUCAUGAACUUGUUAAAAUUAUUCUAGAAAUGUAAUAUAGUACAGAAUAUUCUUUAAGAAUGUUAAUUGUGCAAUAUCUUAAAGAAAAUUAAGGAUAGAAAAGUCUCACCAUUUAAUGUUUUCUCUAGUGAAAAGCAAAUAUGAAAUUAUUACCUAAUUUUCUGGGUCACUGUAUAAUCUAUCUGUCUCUAAAGAUCAGUUAUUUAUAUUGAGGAAAUAAAUAUUUUUUAUCUCAAAAAUAAUAAUCAACAUGGAUUAAGUGGUAGAAAAAGUUCUAUUAAUAUUUCCCCUGUGUUAUAAGACAUUGUGUGAUAACUAAAAGUAGGUUGUAUGAACCCCACCUGAAUUAAUACAAGAUUAGGCCAAAUAAUUGCUUUCCUGUUUGUCAAUUUUCUUUAUUAGAAGAGUAUUUGGGGUCACAAAGGAAUUUAAAAAACGAAGAGUACAAGUUACUCUUCUUUUCAAGGAUAAAUUGGCUUUGCUGAAUGUUUUCAUACAAGAGCAAAUGUUCUUCAUUAUUUCUCUUAAUAUAUAAAUUUUUUCUAGCAUUUUGGAGGUCUUUGACUUUGGCGACACAUUAAAAUCACAUGGAGAGAUUGUAAAUUGAAUAUCCAAGGUGCACCCUAGACCAAUUAAAUCAGGAUCUCUGCACGUAGGACCAAGGCAUCACUACUUUUUGAAGUUCCCCAGUGAGUCUAAUAUGCAUCCAAAUUUGAAGACUACUCCUUUGCGAAUACAAGGCCUCCCUCGCUGACCAGUAUUUUAGGACAGGAGUUCUCAACAGUGUCUCUUAGCGUGUUUUUAAUAUUAUAGAUGCUUUUCGAUCUUACCCUAAAAUAGCACAUAAACAUUUUAUACAUAUGUGGGAUAACCAUUAAAAAUAAGUAUAAACCAAUCACUCUUCUAGAGAUACAUAUAAAAAAGGUCAUCUCCUCUCAAUGGAAACAAAGAUUUUCUGUAUUAUUGAGAAGCAAUUUACAUAGUUUAAUUUCUUGUAUGCGCUGAGGACACUGUUUUCUCUAAGCCACCUACAUCAGAGAUUGGUUUUCCUCCCCUAAAUCUGUGAACCUUCAAAGGUGGAAAUACACUAAUGUGGUUACAAAAGUGGGCUUCACUGUGAGAUACACCUUGAUUAGUAUGACCUUCAUAUUCCCUUCAGCAUGCCUAAACUUUAGACAAAUUUCUUUCUGUUGGCUCUGACCUUCUUUUUUCUUAGAGCAUUUACUUUAGAAAACACAAUUGUCCAUUCUUUCUUUGCCCUUUUGUAAUAUAUGUAAAUCUUCUCCCAGACUCUUGACUGUCUUAGAACCACAGAAACGUCUUUUUCGAGGGCCUGGUACUCAUUUUCCUGAAAUAAAAAACAAUUGAACAAGACAGCACCCCUGUUUCCCAGUCUCUGUGGGAGGAUAGGAGCCUAAUUUCUUUGGGCACCAAUUAGCAAAUGGAGAUCACAGAGAAAAAUAUUUGCAACUCAGGAACAACUAAAUAUGCUCAACACAUCCCAUUUUUCUACCUCUGCCUCCCUUCCCUAAAUAUCUCCAGUACUUUUCCACUAUUUCAUCCCAGCAUUUAAAAUGCUCCUACUUUUUUUGCCAGGGAAGUUUAGUCUCUCGCCCUUAUUGCAAUAGUCUUAAACAAAGUCUUUCUUGCCUGUUGAACUUUGUUCAGUGCAAUUUUUACUUUGAUAACCCGCAUUUCAUACCUACCCUGUCACUUACUAGUAGUGAGACCAAUGAGCAAAGUGUUUCAACUCUCUAAACCUUCUCCAGUAAAAAAAAAAAAAAAAUACUCGUCACCUCAUAGGACUGUUCUGAGAAUAAAUUGUAUAAAUUAAUGUUCUUAACAGUUUGGUUAAGGUCAUGGAAUCCUCACAAUCCAAGGCAAGUAAAGGCAAGAAGAUUCAAAAUCUGGGUGUUAUUUUCAGAAGAAGAAAAAUGAAGCAUUGGCAGACAAAAAUAGCGUAUAAUUAGCUGUUAUUAAUGUUUUUACUACUAUAUUAUUAUUAUUACUGCCAAUGGGGAGCAGUUAUUUCCCCAAGCUGAAUAAUACCGCUCCUAUCACAAGGUUUCGCUACUUUAAGUUAAUCAUUUAACCAUAUGUACAAGAGACAUCAUAAAGCCAACUAUAAAUGGCUUUCUAGCUAUCUAAGGCUCUAAUACAUUAUAAUCAAAACAGAAGGCAUCAGUAGAGAGAGAUCUUGUGCGGUAAAUAGAUGAGAUGUUAACUUUCUCAGCAAUCUGUUGUUAUUCUCUUUUUAUAAAACCUUUAAAAUGAUAUGUAAAAGGGGGAAAACAUGCACUAGAAAUGGCAAGUGCUUGUUGAAACAGCACAAUGAAUACUUGUUGAGUUGCCAACUUUUGCCCUUUACCAAAAGUAGCCUUUAGAAAUACAAAGCUUUGAAUAAAUAGUGUACUCUUAGAUUUCUGUAAAGUAGUUCCAAGCCUCAAAUGAGAGUGAAGGUGUGUGUAAGAAGACAGAAAUGCAAGGAAUGACUACUGAUGGAAAAGAUCAUUUAUGUAACUAAGAAAAGCAGAGCUUCAGAUGCCUUGGAAUGUGAAGCUAUAGUUUAUCAUACUACUCAGUUGAGGGAAUUCUCCUUACUUGGGUGUUUUAGAAUCAAUUUUGUCUCUCAGUUAAUAUGAGAGGAAUUAAAUUAUUGUUACAAUAAUCAACCUCUUUGCUUUUUCUUCUCCCACACCACAUGCCCAAUAAACUACCAUUUCCAAAAUGACAUGCAUUGUUGAUUGCCUUUUUGUGAUAUAAAGCAUAUGACUUCACUUCAAUUACAGUGAAAUAUUAGAAGAAAAUUAUAGCAGAACUAUCACAGGCUCCUGUUAUCACAUUUACUUAUCUACUUUAUUUGUGUCCAUAAGUGUUACCUGUCUUCCAAUUAUAAUCAUGAACUGGCAGUGCCUGGAUUUUAAAGCAUGUGUGUAGAAAUCCAUCCAUUCUUACUGGUUUAAGAAGACACUCUUCUAAACAUUUGCUCUCCUUUCCUAAAUAUUUUCCUCUUUAAUUUAGCCUUCCCAAAUUAUACAAAUAUCUGACAUUUAAUAUUUAAAAAAAUUCUCUAUUGAUUUCACAUUUCCCUGACAGCAGGUGCUCUGGUUUCCUAUGAUGCUUUAGAAUUAAAAUACUCAAAUAAAUCUCUGUAUUCACUGUGUUCACAUCCUAUUCUGACAUUUUAUCUUGACAGUCUAAGCAGUCUAAGCAGGAUUCUCUCUCCACUAUUCAGUGGAAAUGGCUCUCAUCAAGGCUUCCAGUGACUUAGAUUUCUCAAAACAGUGGUCAACUCUCAGGCAUUAUCUUACUCAUUUGAUGUCUCCUAUUUUGAAAUACUUUGUUACCAAGACUCCCAGGUGAGCAUUCUCUUGAAAUUUGUUUAUGUCAUUGGCCAGUUCUUCCGUCUUCUUUGUUGGUUCUUCCUACUGCUAGAAAAACAAACAAACAAACCAAAAAAACCCAUUUAUUUCAUGCCAUUUUAAAUAGUAUUUAUAUGAAUACCAAACUAGAAUUUAAUGAGAUAAAUUCACACCUGGAAUAUAAUUAAAAAUAUAUAUAAGGCAUGUAAAAAUAAGAAAAUGCGACCCAUAAUGACAAGAUAAAUUAAUCAACUGAAACUGACCUAGAACAGAUUCAGACAUCGGAAUUAGCAGACAAGAACAUUAGUACAUCUAUUAAAACUGUGCACCUGAGCCAGGCAUGUGGCUCACACCUAUAAUCCCAGCACUUUGGGAAACCAAGGUGGGAGGAUCACUUGAGACCAGGAGUUUGAGACAAUAAUUAAUAGCCUACCAACCAGAAAAAAGUCCAGGACCAGAUAGAUUCACAGCCAAAUUUUAUCAGUGGUACAAAGAGGUACAAUUCCUUCUGAAACUAUUCCAAUCAACAGAAAAAGAGGGAAUCCUCCCUAAUUCAUUUUAUGAGGCCAACAUCAUCCUAUACCAAAGCCUGGCAGAGACACAACAAAAAAAGAGAAUUUUAGACCAAUAUCCCUGAUGAACAUCGAUGCAAAAAUCUUCAAUAAAAUACUGGCACACUGAAUCCAGCAGCACAUCAAAAAGCUUAUCCACCACAAUCAAGUUGGCUUCAUCUCUGGGAUGCAAGGCUGGU
RNAcentral lists this long non-coding RNA (5938 nucleotides) under Homo sapiens (human). Its description in RNAcentral is "HSALNT0162917". The record is from RNAcentral. Lineage: Eukaryota; Metazoa; Chordata; Mammalia; Primates; Hominidae.